GCCCGAGUGGCGGAAUGGUAGACGCAGCGGAUUCAAAAUCCGUCGCCGCAAGGCAUGUCGGUUCGAGUCCGACCUUGGGCA
RNAcentral lists this transfer RNA (81 nucleotides) under Fuscovulum blasticum DSM 2131. It matches the Rfam family "tRNA". From Rfam's summary of the family: Transfer RNA (tRNA) molecules are approximately 80 nucleotides in length. Their secondary structure includes four short double-helical elements and three loops (D, anti-codon, and T loops). Lineage: Bacteria; Pseudomonadati; Pseudomonadota; Alphaproteobacteria; Rhodobacterales; Paracoccaceae. The record is from Rfam by way of RNAcentral. RNAcentral also lists the same sequence under 2 other names.